RNAcentral lists this long non-coding RNA (229 nucleotides) under Carica papaya (papaya). Its description in RNAcentral is "long non-coding RNA (CPAP_LNC000047)". Lineage: Eukaryota; Viridiplantae; Streptophyta; Magnoliopsida; Brassicales; Caricaceae. The record is from RNAcentral.
ACUAAGACUCUUUCCUUUUGGCGAUUUUUAGACUGCCUCUUAUAUUCAAGAUUUGAAUCCCUCUUUCCUUUUUUUCUUUAUUUUCUUAUUGAUUUUUAUUGUAGGUUUCGGCCUUGAAGAUGGAUUUUCUCUAGCGAGUUAGAGUAGGAACUUGAAGAAGUGUUUGGAUAGGAAACAUGCUUCAUGACCGAUUUUCCUCUUUGAUUCUUCCUCUCUUAAUAUGACUUUC